Molecule: transfer RNA, 72 nt
Rfam family: tRNA
About the family: Transfer RNA (tRNA) molecules are approximately 80 nucleotides in length. Their secondary structure includes four short double-helical elements and three loops (D, anti-codon, and T loops).
GGGCAAUUAGCUCAGUGGUAGAGCGUUUCGUUGACAUCGAAAAGGUCACAGGUUCGAUCCCUGUAUUGCCCA